Molecule: ribosomal RNA, 622 nt
Filed under: Aequorivita sp. C-43
Lineage: Bacteria; Pseudomonadati; Bacteroidota; Flavobacteriia; Flavobacteriales; Flavobacteriaceae
Description: bacterial SSU rRNA
Rfam family: Bacterial small subunit ribosomal RNA
Source: RNAcentral
UUAGAUACCCUGGUAGUCCACGCCGUAAACGAUGGAUACUAGCUGUCCGGCUCACAUUGGUGAGUUGGGUGGCCAAGCGAAAGUGAUAAGUAUCCCACCUGGGGAGUACGUUCGCAAGAAUGAAACUCAAAGGAAUUGACGGGGGCCCGCACAAGCGGUGGAGCAUGUGGUUUAAUUCGAUGAUACGCGAGGAACCUUACCAGGGCUUAAAUGUAGUCUGACAGGAUUGGAAACAGUCUUUUCUUCGGACAGAUUACAAGGUGCUGCAUGGUUGUCGUCAGCUCGUGCCGUGAGGUGUCAGGUUAAGUCCUAUAACGAGCGCGACCCCUGUUGUUAGUUGCCAGCGAGUCAAGUCGGGAACUCUAACAAGACUGCCGGUGCAAACCGUGAGGAAGGUGGGGAUGACGUCAAAUCAUCACGGCCCUUACGUCCUGGGCCACACACGUGCUACAAUGGCAGGUACAAUGGGCAGCCACUACGCAAGUAGGAGCGAAUCCACAAAACCUGUCUCAGUUCGGACCGGGGUCUGCAACUCGACCCCGUGAAGCUGGAAUCGCUAGUAAUCGGAUAUCAGCCAUGAUCCGGUGAAUACGUUCCCGGGCCUUGUACACACCGCCCGUCA